UCAAAAACAUAGCUGUUAGUAAUUUUUAACAGUUUYUUYUGCUCAAUGAGCUAUUAAAUAGCCGCAGUACCUUGACUGUGCAAAGGUAGCAUAAUCAGUUGGCUUAUAAUUGAAGUCUAGUAUGAAUGAAAGUAUGUGGAAUCACUAUAUCCUAAAUAUAAUAUUAAAUUACUGAGUAAGUGCAAAUACUUAUAGCUUAAUAAUAGACGAGAAGACCCUAGAAAUUUUAAGGAUGACAUAUAAAGGUUUUUGUUGGGGCAACAACGUAGCAUAUAACCUACGUUAUAUACAUGAAAUUAGUUUGAUAGGCUAAAUUACUCUAGGGAUAACAGCGUAAUAUUUAAGUGAUUGCGACCUCGAUGUUGGACUAGGAUACACAUG
This 381-nucleotide ribosomal RNA is filed under the name Camaenidae gen. Z sp. Z MSJ-2014. RNAcentral describes it as "partial 16S ribosomal RNA". It matches the Rfam family "Archaeal large subunit ribosomal RNA", at positions 1902 to 2621 of the family's 2987-position model. Lineage: Eukaryota; Metazoa; Mollusca; Gastropoda; Stylommatophora; Camaenidae. The record is from RNAcentral.